This 850-nucleotide ribosomal RNA is filed under the name uncultured bacterium. RNAcentral describes it as "bacterial SSU rRNA". It matches the Rfam family "Bacterial small subunit ribosomal RNA", at positions 33 to 871 of the family's 1533-position model. The record is from RNAcentral.
GCGGAAGUGGAGGGCUUUACCAUUGCAGUCGAGGGGCAGCGGGGAGGUAGCAAUACCUCCGCCGGCGACCGGCCCCUUUAAGAGUAACACGUAUGCAACCUGCCCUGUGCAGGGGCCCUUUCCGGAGAAAUCCGGUCUAAUACCGCGUAACACCCCUUGGGGACAUCCCCUUGGGGUUAAAGGAAGCAAUUCCGGCACAGGAUGGGCAUGCGGCGCAUUAGCUGGUUGGCGGGGUAACGGCCCACCAAGGCAACGAUGCGUAUGGGUUCUGAAAGGAAGGUCCCCCAGACUGGUACUGAGACACGGACCACACUCCUACGGGAGGCAGCAGUGAGGAAUAUUGGUCAAUGGGCGAGAGCCUGAACCAGCCAAGUCGCGUGAGGGAAGACGGUCCUAUGGAUUGUAAACCUCUUUUGUCGGGGAGCAAAAAGACUACGUGUAGUCCCAAGCGAGAGUACCCGAAGAAAAAGCAUCGGCUAACUCCGUGCCAGCAGCCGCGGUAAUACGGAGGAUGCGAGCGUUAUCCGGAUUUAUUGGGUUUAAAGGGUGCGUAGGCUGAAUGUCAAGUCAGCGGUAAAAAUUCCGGGCUCAAUCCGGACGUGCCGUUGAAACUGGCGUUCUUGAGUGAGCGAAAAAUACGCGGAAUGCGUGACGGAGCGGUGAAAUGCAUAGAUAUCAAGCAGAAAUCCGAUUGCGAAGGUAGCGUACCGCCGCUCACUUGACUCUGAAGCACGAAGGCGUGGGGAUUAAAACAGGAUUAAAUACCCUGGUAGCCCACGCAUUAAAAGAGGAAUACGAAUUGGCCGGCCCUUCGGGGUUGGGUGAAACACACAAAGCGUUAAGUAUUCCA